GACGAACGCUGGCGGCGUGCUUAACACAUGCAAGUCGAACGGAAAGGCCCUGCUUUUGUGGGGUGCUCGAGUGGCGAACGGGUGAGUAACACGUGAGUAACCUGCCCUUGACUUUGGGAUAACUUCAGGAAACUGGGGCUAAUACCGGAUAGGAGCUCCUGCUGCAUGGUGGGGGUUGGAAGGUUUCGGCGGUUGGGGAUGGACUCGCGGCUUAUCAGCUUGUUGGUGGGGUAGUGGCUUACCAAGGCUUUGACGGGUAGCCGGCCUGAGAGGGUGACCGGCCACAUGGGGACUGAGAUACGGCCCAGACUCCUACGGGAGGCAGCAGUGGGGAAUAUUGCACAAUGGGCGGAAGCCUGAUGCAGCAACGCCGCGUGCGGGAUGACGGCCUUCGGGUUGUAAACCGCUUUCGCCUGUGACGAAGCGUGAGUGACGGUAAUGGGUAAAGAAGCACCGGCUAACUACGUG
RNAcentral lists this ribosomal RNA (468 nucleotides) under uncultured bacterium. Its description in RNAcentral is "partial 16S ribosomal RNA". It matches the Rfam family "Bacterial small subunit ribosomal RNA", at positions 28 to 507 of the family's 1533-position model. The record is from RNAcentral.